Molecule: microRNA, 22 nt
Filed under: Pteropus alecto (black flying fox)
Lineage: Eukaryota; Metazoa; Chordata; Mammalia; Chiroptera; Pteropodidae
Description: pal-miR-8908f-5p
Source: miRBase by way of RNAcentral
UAUUUAGGAAGGCACUAUUCAU